Sceloporus undulatus (fence lizard) is the source of this 2584-nucleotide RNA transcript. It is a transcript of the gene named adaptor related protein complex 1 subunit sigma 2, with no coding region annotated. The record is from RefSeq and is a predicted model, not a curated record. The transcript is spliced from 7 exons. NCBI's taxonomy places the organism in Eukaryota, Metazoa, Chordata, Lepidosauria, Squamata, Phrynosomatidae.
GCCUCUUCUUCGGAGGAGCGAAUGAAGUUUGGCGGUUGGAGAGAAAAGAGAGGAGUGGGGUCGUCAAUCCCCCUCCUUCUGUUCUUUUUGGCCCCGCCCCUUAGUUCUCUGAGGCUACUUGCCGGGCGUAGCCCCGCCCACCCCUUCAGUUCCUCGGGUGGCGGUUGGGCUCCUGUCUCGCGCAAGGGGGAUUUCCGCGGAGAAGCCUCCUCUCUUCCUCUUGUUUUCCCCUCCUCACCCCUCCCCCGCCGCGAGGACAAGGCGCGCGCGCGCCUCCAGGUCUCCAGGGCAACGAUGCAGUUUAUGUUGCUUUUUAGUCGUCAGGGGAAGCUGAGACUUCAGAAAUGGUAUGUCCCAUUGUCUGACAAAGAAAAGAAGAAAAUCACAAGAGAACUUGUUCAAACAGUCUUAGCCCGAAAACCGAAAAUGUGCAGCUUUCUGGAAUGGAGAGACCUGAAGAUUGUCUACAAAAGAUAUGCAAGCCUCUACUUCUGUUGUGCCAUUGAAGAUCAGGAUAAUGAGCUAAUUACUCUGGAAAUAAUUCAUCGUUAUGUAGAAUUGCUCGACAAAUAUUUUGGAAGUGUAUGUGAACUUGAUAUUAUCUUCAAUUUUGAAAAGGCUUAUUUUAUUUUGGAUGAAUUUCUCUUGGGAGGGGAAGUACAGGAAACUUCAAAGAAAAAUGUUCUUAAAGCCAUUGAACAGGCAGAUCUAUUACAGGAGAGCCAGAAUGAAGACUGGGGAGGUUUGUCUGAGGAUAUCUUAUGAUUAAGAACAGUCUAAAGGCUUAGCGUUUUGAUCCCAUCCGUACAAUUGGAUGCUAAAGAAGCGGAGACCCCUCGUAGUGUACUUGAAGAAAUUGGACUGACAUAAACCUCGUUUGCUGAUGUCUUACAUGGUGUUUCAUAUACCUGUAAAUGUUCACUGCCUCCAUUUAAUGUUAGCUAAUGGUGUUAUGAUGCUAUUUGUCAGUAUUACUGUUCUGCUGAGCUACUUCAUUCAGGCCUACAAGAAAAAAACCCAUUUACUGUGAAAUUGGAAAAGGGAGCAUAAUUUUAAAAAGCUUUUGUGGAAAAAAAUUAAAAGGGAUUUUAAGCAACAGUAACAUAAAUAAUAAAUGGCAAUUAAGGUGAUUUCAUAAAAAUUUACUUUGCCAUCAUGUGUCAGAUAAUUUUACAUUAUGCCAUAUACUGAAAAACAGUAACAUGGUAAGAAAGUGAAAUGUGUUAACAUAGAACUUGGCUUUGUGUAACCAAAGACUCGUUAUUAUACAGUCAGCAUUUGUUAAAACUCAGUUUAGGUUAUUACAUAAGAUUGGGGGGAAAUAACUUUGUGACUAUUUCAUUUAUACCAAAGAAUCUUAUUAAGGUCUGUAAAAUCAAACUAUUGUGAACUGUCUUGGUAGCUUCAUUUCUAAUAAUUGAAUUUUAAAGGAUUUCAUUAGAAAUUCUAAUGAAUGAGAUCAUGAUGAGAUUGUAAAUUCAAUCAGAAAACUGAGUUAAUGCAUUGCAAAGAGAAAUAGGUUGGGGUCAUAAUGAUUUUUUUUAAAAAAAAACUUAUCUUUUUUUUACUAAAUUUAAAUGCUUUCUGAAUUGAAUACAUAGUCUUUUGGAAAGUGUAAAGGAAAAUUAAUUCAAAACACACUGAGAUACAGUGAUAUAAUCCCAAAGGGAAACAUGUAGAAAGAGAAUAUUACCAAGCUUCAAUCUGUCUUUAACAUUUUUACAAGUAUCAUCCACUUUAUGUCUAAACUAGGACUUGAGCAGCUGCUUGUAGAGUUUGAAAAUAUGUAGCUAUAUAUCAGUCUUCAUAUCACCUUGCACAAGGUUAGGUUUUGUUAAAAUGCAUUUCUUUGUAUCAUAGAAACAAGCCUUAAAAUGGAAACUUUGUUUAAAUCACUGCCAUGUUUUCACAAGAAAAAAACCAGGCUGCAAUGACAUGCACAUUUUACUUGGCAGUAGGCCCCAAUAUAACAGGACCUGCUUCCAAAUAAACUUGCAUAGGUUUAGGCUGCAAAGGUAUCACAAAGCCAUAACUUAUUUACUCUAAUGUGUGUUUUGCUGUAUAUCCUAUAUCUUAGUGCUUGGAAAGCUUCAGUACAGAGCACAUGCUGUGAAAAGCAGUGUAACUUCCCCCAUAUGUAAUAACCUGUAUGUGUUCUCACUUGGCAACUUCUCCAUGUAACGACUUGCUGUGAUUGGUGUAUUUAAAAGCAUUCAAAUGCUUUAAACAGUGCCACGAAUUUGAAACAUAGUUGUUUCUUGCUUCAUUAACUACAGCAGAAGCCUUAUGAAAAUAAUCAUGUUUGCAUAAGGUACACAGGAGUUGUGUUCUACAUUUCACUCUGGGAAAACAUGGACUAAUGAAUUUCAGGUGAUGUUAGAGUGGCCCUUUGCAUGACACUGAAGGGACAGAAAUACUUGCCACUGAAAAGCAGUUUUUGUUUGUAUUCAAACCAUAUUUAAAGUUUACACUGUUGCCUUGUAUGUGCUUGGUUGGAAAAGCUUUGUGAUUGUGACAUGCGCUAUGUGGACACUGUCUUAGUAUCACACCAGUUUAGUUGUAAUAAAUGUCCAUUUCUACUCCA